This 2017-nucleotide long non-coding RNA is filed under the name Marmota monax (woodchuck). The record is from RNAcentral. Lineage: Eukaryota; Metazoa; Chordata; Mammalia; Rodentia; Sciuridae.
CUUCUAUAAGAACAUGAAACUCAGUUCUUAGUUUAGAGAGUCAGGGAGGGCUUCCAUCUGGAAACAAUAAUUUGUUUUGUCCUAUUUUGUUUUGUUUGCAGUGCUAAGGAUUAAACCCAGGACUCAUGCAUGCCAGGCAAACAUACUACCACUGAUCCAUAUCCCCAGCCCUAGAAAUGCUAAUUUAAUGGAGAUCUGAAGGAUGAGCAUGCAUUAAGCAAAUGGAGAGAAGGAAACAUUUCAGACAGAAGGGACAACAUAUGCCAAGGCUUUGUGAUGGGAAACUCCACAGUGUAUUCAAGGAAUUAAAAGAAAGUCCAUACAUUGGAAUGAAGAGAGGAAGAAACAAAUCAUUAAGGGACAAGGCUGGGAAGGGAAACAGGUAUGAUUUUGGUUUAUAUAUGAGAGGAAUAAAAGACAUUAAAGAAACGUAAUGUGGGAGUGGAUGUGUGCAUAACCCAGUCAUAUUUGUGUUUUGAAAGUAUCACUCAGGCUGUGUGUUGAGUGGGUUGGAGAAGGCCAGAGGAGAAAUAAGGAGAUCAGUUACACCACAGCAAUAGUACAGGUGAGAAAUAAGGAUUCCAUGGGCUGAUAAGUAAUGGUGAAGGUGAAAGAGUGACAAAUUCUGAAGUUCUAGAUGUUCAAAUGGAAUGAUAUAGGAAGAAUUAGAGAUGGUAGUACAAAGGUGAGAGAGAAGGAGAUCUCAAGAUGACUCCUAAAUUUACUAACAAAUAUAUAUCAGAAAUAUUCCCUGAUUGGGAGAUAUUGGAAGAAAAAUGAGCUUGGAAGGAAUGAUUUAAGAGUACAAUAAUGGACAUGUUGAGUCUGAGGAGACUUUUAGACAUCACCAACUCCAAGAAUAUGAGUUGCUUGAACUAUUAGACAUGCAGAACUAAAGCUAUGGGUGUUAGUUUGGGUUGGAGAUGUAUAUUUGGGAGUUAUUAUGAUGAAAAUUAUAAUGAAGGCUUGAGACUGAAGAGAUGGUCAGAUUUUGCAUGAGCUCCCAUUAAGCCAUAUCGUUGCAAUUCUGUACAAUUGAGUAGAUAAAUUUUAAGACAAAAGUACAUGAUUAUAAUUUUAUUCUUAUUCAAUUUCAUCAUAUUAGAGAGGAAAAGAAUGUCAUCUUUUUAAAGAUUUUCAUUUUCCUUUACUUUCCUUCUCCUAUUUCCAGUCUCAUAUCUUCUGAGAGAAACAGAUCAUCAUGUCACGAACCCCUCUAACUCUCCAAUAAAAACAACAUGAAAUCAACCAAGAUAGAGAAUGUGUCCUUAAUGCCCCACUUGGGACCUCUCUCCAGAGGAACAUUGAUAGAGGCAAGCCUAUUUCAGGUCAGUGAUAUCAACAGUUAAAGUACAUCCAGCUUCACUAUUCAACAGUCCAUCUUACCUCCUAAGGGCUGCAAAAAGAACUUGUAAAAUUGCUUAUGUCAGGAAAUUUGAGAAACAUGACAAGUAUACUACUUAAAUCCUGUGCUCAAAUCAUAGGUUUUUAAAAAAGUUUUUUUUACUGUUUUAAUUAGUUAACAUGACAUUUAUGCACUUUGAUGUAUCAUAUAUAGAUGGGAUAUGAUUUCUCAUUUCUUUGAGUGUACAUGUUAUAGAAUCAUAUUGGUCAUGCAGUCACAUAUAUACAUCAAAUCAUAGUUUUAUUACUUACCUGGCUUGUGACUUUGGGUAAGUUGCUUAAACUCUCUGGUUUAUAGUUUCCAUUUGUAUUUGUAAAAUAUCUUCCCAAUAAAUUUAUAGAAAGGAUUAAAUGAAAUGAUAUAUGAAAAAUAUCUGGCAUGUAAAAUCUAUGUGAAAUAAAUGCUAACUUAUGUUUGUCUUUCCCAAAUCUGUGUGCAUCUAAUUUGCUACCAGAGUUUAUUUAUUAUUUACUUAUUUGCCAUACUGAGGAUCAAACACAGGGCCCUGCACAUGCCAGGCAAGUUCUAUAUCACCAAGUUACAUGCCCAGUCCUAAGCUUCUCUCUUUUGACAGAUAGUGGAUCUAAGGAAAAAUUGUUGUCUCAUUCCAGC